Molecule: small nucleolar RNA, 90 nt
Filed under: Nelumbo nucifera (sacred lotus)
Lineage: Eukaryota; Viridiplantae; Streptophyta; Magnoliopsida; Proteales; Nelumbonaceae
Description: Small nucleolar RNA SNORD96 family
Rfam family: Small nucleolar RNA SNORD96 family
About the family: snoRNA Z37 is a member of the C/D class of snoRNA which contain the C (UGAUGA) and D (CUGA) box motifs. Z37 acts as a methylation guide for 5.8S ribosomal RNA.
Source: Rfam by way of RNAcentral
UUGCCAGUGAUGAUAUCAGUACCCAAAAUACCAUCUUUCGGGACUGAAUGGCUUAUUAAGCCUUGCUGUCACUCUGCAAUUCUGAGGCAU